AACCUGAUAAUUUUCCCUGCGAGUUGUCUCCCGAGGGUCCGCUGACGUCCUUCUCGCGAUCGGCCGAAUCCCUGCGGAUCGUCUUGGUGCCUCUGCUCGUUUUUGUGGCCGUCUUCGAUUGGGAGGGACCGACCGUUGCUCCGGCAUUUCCCUCAUCCGCUGAAGUUUUCACUUUGCCCGUGGUGCUCUCGCACGGACCCUUCUUCUUGCUUUUUCGCAACGUCAUGUUGUACGAAACGACAAACGAGUUUUCCUCUUUUGAAGAACUGCAAGUUUGAACACUUCACGACGAACGCACGACUAUUACCGCCAAAACCGAGGUACGAGACUAGGAGUAGAUUCGGAGCUGGACGACCCACCGAAAUCUAGAAGUGACCGUGAAAGAGAAUGAAAAUCACGGCACGCAAUCGACGAAGUAUCCGAGAUGAUGUACCGCGAAUCGAACGACCGAGACGUAAAAUAUGCUGCGGAGCGGAGGACCAGGGGGUUGAAAGAUUGGAGGCGAAGGG
This 509-nucleotide unclassified non-coding RNA is filed under the name Athalia rosae (coleseed sawfly). RNAcentral's name for it is "misc RNA ENSAEAG00005012213.1". Lineage: Eukaryota; Metazoa; Arthropoda; Insecta; Hymenoptera; Athaliidae. The record is from RNAcentral.